RNAcentral lists this ribosomal RNA (570 nucleotides) under Indosylvirana nicobariensis (Nicobar Island frog). RNAcentral's name for it is "partial 16S ribosomal RNA". It matches the Rfam family "Bacterial large subunit ribosomal RNA", at positions 1835 to 2621 of the family's 2925-position model. Lineage: Eukaryota; Metazoa; Chordata; Amphibia; Anura; Ranidae. The record is from RNAcentral.
UCCUGCAUUUUUACGACGUCAGCCUGCCCAGUGACAAAAUUAAACGGCCGCGGUAUCCUAACCGUGCGAAGGUAGCAUAAUCACUUGUUCCUUAAAUAGGGACUUGUAUCAACGGCAUCACGAGGGCUAUACUGUCUCCUCUUUUUAAUCAGUUAAACUGAUCUCCCCGUGAAGAAGCGGGGAUUUUUUUAUAAGACGAGAAGACCCCAUGGAGCUUUAAGCAACGUAUUUAUCUUCUUUUGUUACAUCAACAUCAAUCUGAAUCUCUAAAUACUAGCUUUAGGUUGGGGAGACCGCGGAGUAUAAAUUAACCUCCGCAAUAAACAGGCCUUGCCUUAAUCUGAGAGUGACAACCCAAAGAAUCAACAAACUGAUAUCUUGUGAUCCAAUCAUUUGAUUAAUGAACCAAGUUACCCUGGGGAUAACAGCGCAAUCUACUUCAAGAGCCCCUAUCGACAAGUAGGCUUACGACCUCGAUGUUGGAUCAGGGUAUCCCAGUGGUGCAACCGCUACUAACAGGUUCGUUUGUUCAACGAUUAAAACCCUACGUGAUCUGAGUUCAGACCGGAU